AGGACGAACGCUGGCGGCGUGCCUAACACAUGCAAGUCGAGCGGAAAGGCCCUUCGGGGUACUCGAGCGGCGAACGGGUGAGUAACACGUGAGCAACCUGCCCCUGGCUCUGGGAUAGCCUCCGGAAAACGGGGAUUAAUACCGGACAUUCACUCUUCUGGGCAUCCUAGAGGGUGGAAAGUUUUUUCGGCCGGGGAGGGGCUCGCGGCCUAUCAGCUUGUUGGCGGGGUAACGGCCCACCGAAGGCGACGACGGGUAG
This 259-nucleotide ribosomal RNA is filed under the name uncultured bacterium. RNAcentral describes it as "partial small subunit ribosomal RNA". It matches the Rfam family "Bacterial small subunit ribosomal RNA", at positions 26 to 286 of the family's 1533-position model. The record is from RNAcentral.